UACAUUACAAAAUGGCAAACAAGGUAGAAACCCUAGUUGCUAGCGCUGCAAUCAAAUGCCCAGCUGAUAAAUUCUACAAUUUCUUCAAGUUCAACAUGAGCGACAUUGUCAAGAUUUUCCCGGCCGCCUUCACCGGAGUUGAGCUCAUCCAAGGAGGGCGCCGUUGGCUCCAUCAAGAUCUGGCACUAUAUUGUUGGAGCAAUUCCAACAACUGCCAAGGUUUUGACAGAGGCAAUAGAUGCUGCUGCAAAAAUCAUGACAUUUUCGACUUUGGAAGGAGAUCUUCUGCAAGUGUAUAAGAGUUUUAAGGCGACUCUUAGUGUGAAUGAUGGUUUGGCAAAAUGGAGCUUUGAGUAUGAGAAAGCUACUAUUCUUUCUCCUCCUCCUCAACUCUAUGUUCCUCUUGUCGUUACUCUCUGCACUCUCGUCGAUGCCUAUCUUCUCAUCAACUGAGUUGCGUUCGUUUUAUCUUUGAUUUGUAAUAGUGUGCUCCACAUCAUUAGUAGUGUAGUGUAAUAGUAUAACUUGUAAAAAUGAUGUGUAAGGAUAAUGUGUUAUUUAACUAAUCUAAAAUUAGAAAGUUCAUUU
Molecule: long non-coding RNA, 588 nt
Organism: Salvia splendens (bonfire salvia)
Lineage: Eukaryota; Viridiplantae; Streptophyta; Magnoliopsida; Lamiales; Lamiaceae
Exons: 2
Source: RefSeq, a predicted model, not a curated record